This 21-nucleotide non-coding RNA is filed under the name Arabidopsis thaliana (thale cress). Lineage: Eukaryota; Viridiplantae; Streptophyta; Magnoliopsida; Brassicales; Brassicaceae. The record is from RNAcentral.
UGCUACUAGGAUUCUCGAGGG